UACGUAGGGGGCAAGCGUUGUCCGGAAUUAUUGGGCGUAAAGCGCGCGCAGGCGGUCAGUUAAGUUGGGUGUUUAAGCCCGGGGCUCAACCCCGGUACGCAUCCAAAACUGGUUGACUUGAGUGUAGGAGAGGAAAGUGGAAUUCCACGUGUAGCGGUGAAAUGCGUAGAGAUGUGGAGGAACACCAGUGGCGAAGGCGGCAUCCUGGCCCUGACCUGACGCUGAGGCGCGAUAGCGUGGGGAGCAAACGGG
Molecule: ribosomal RNA, 252 nt
Filed under: uncultured bacterium
Lineage: Bacteria
Description: partial 16S ribosomal RNA
Rfam family: Bacterial small subunit ribosomal RNA
Source: RNAcentral